This 497-nucleotide ribosomal RNA is filed under the name uncultured bacterium. RNAcentral's name for it is "partial 16S ribosomal RNA". It matches the Rfam family "Bacterial small subunit ribosomal RNA", at positions 28 to 507 of the family's 1533-position model. The record is from RNAcentral.
GAUGAACGCUGGCGGCGUGCCUAAUACAUGCAAGUCGAGCGAACAGAUGAGGAGCUUGCUCCUCUGACGUUAGCGGCGGACGGGUGAGUAACACGUGGAUAACCUACCUAUAAGACUGGUAUAACUUCGGGAAACCGGAGCUAAUACCGUAUAAUAUAUUGAAUCGCAUGGUUCAAUAGUUAAAUACGGUUUUGCUGUCACUUAUAGAUGGAUCCGCGCCGCAUUAGCUAGUUGGUAAGGUAACGGCUUACCAAGGCAACGAUGCGUAGCCGACCUGAGAGGGUGAUAGGCCACACUGGAACUGAGACACGGUCCAGACUCCUACGGGAGGCAGCAGUAGGGAAUCUUCCGCAAUGGGCGAAAGCAUGACGGAGCAACGCCGAGUGAGUGAUGAAGGUCUUCGGAUCGUAAAACUCUGUUAUUAGGGAAGAACAAAUGUGUAAGUAACUAUGCACGUCUUGACGGUACCUAAUAAGAAAGCCACGGCUAACUACGUG